RNAcentral lists this ribosomal RNA (447 nucleotides) under uncultured bacterium. RNAcentral's name for it is "bacterial SSU rRNA". It matches the Rfam family "Bacterial small subunit ribosomal RNA", at positions 329 to 793 of the family's 1533-position model. The record is from RNAcentral.
CUCCAGACUCCUACGGGAGGCAGCAGUGGGGAAUAUUGCACAAUGGGGGAAACCCUGAUGCAGCGACGCCGCGUGAGCGAUGAAGUAUUUCGGUAUGUAAAGCUCUAUCAGCAGGGAAGAAGAUGACGGUACCUGACUAAGAAGCCCCGGCUAACUACGUGCCAGCAGCCGCGGUAAUACGUAGGGGGCAAGCGUUAUCCGGAUUUACUGGGUGUAAAGGGAGCGUAGACGGCGAUGCAAGCCAGAUGUGAAAGCCCGGGGCUCAACCCCGGGACUGCAUUUGGAACUGUGUGGCUGGAGUGUCGGAGAGGCAGGCGGAAUUCCUAGUGUAGCGGUGAAAUGCGUAGAUAUUAGGAGGAACACCAGUGGCGAAGGCGGCCUGCUGGACGAUGACUGACGUUGAGGCUCGAAAGCGUGGGGAGCAAACAGGAUUAGAUACCCCAGUAC